Molecule: ribosomal RNA, 361 nt
Filed under: uncultured bacterium
Lineage: Bacteria
Description: bacterial SSU rRNA
Rfam family: Bacterial small subunit ribosomal RNA
Source: RNAcentral
GGACCCGCACAAGUAGUGGAGCAUGUGGUUUAAUUCGAAGAUACGCGCAGAACCUUACCAACACUUGACAUGUUCGUCGCGACUCUAAGAGAUUAGAGUUUUCGGUUCGGCCGGACGAAACACAGGUGCUGCAUGGCUGUCGUCAGCUCGUGUCGUGAGAUGUUGGGUUAAGUCCCGCAACGAGCGCAACCCUCACUUUUAGUUGCCAUCAUUAAGUUGGGCACUCUGAAAAGAAACUGCCAGUGAUAAGCUGGAGGAAGGUGGGGAUGACGUCAAGUCCUCAUGGCCCCUUACGUGUUGGGCUACACACGUGCUACAAUGGUAAUCUACAAACAGGAAAGCAAAAACGGCGAACGUUAAG